RNAcentral lists this long non-coding RNA (335 nucleotides) under Felis catus (domestic cat). RNAcentral's name for it is "lncRNA (ENSFCAG00000053220.1)". The record is from RNAcentral. Lineage: Eukaryota; Metazoa; Chordata; Mammalia; Carnivora; Felidae.
AUGAGUAUAUGUUAUCAUUCCCACUUCACAGGCAGAAAACGAAAUCCAGAAGUUGCCCAAGAGCACACAGCUGCUAUGCAGUGGCACAGCCCAGGUCCUUCUGACCACCUCCAGUGGCAACAAAUGACUUCUGCAAAUUACAUCUGCCUGCCCACAGGAUGCCCAAUCUCUGGCUUGUCAGCCUCCAACCCUGGGACAACUCAAGGGCUUCAUUUCCCUGUCUCUGCCACUCAGAGGAGAGAAGCUCAGACAAUUCUACAGAGUAGGUUCUCCUGAAUAUUUCCCUGCUCAACUGGUGCUCUUGGCAUUGUGAAUAAACAGAGCUGAUGAUAACA